ACAUACGACCAUAGGGUGUGGAGAACAGGGCUUCCCGUCCGCUCAGCUGUACUUAAGCCACACGCCGGCCGGUUAGUAGUUGGGUGGGUGACCACCAGCGAAUCCCGGCUGUUGUAUGUU
RNAcentral lists this ribosomal RNA (120 nucleotides) under Aspergillus clavatus NRRL 1. Lineage: Eukaryota; Fungi; Ascomycota; Eurotiomycetes; Eurotiales; Aspergillaceae. The record is from RNAcentral.